RNAcentral lists this ribosomal RNA (305 nucleotides) under uncultured bacterium. Its description in RNAcentral is "bacterial SSU rRNA". It matches the Rfam family "Bacterial small subunit ribosomal RNA", at positions 338 to 661 of the family's 1533-position model. The record is from RNAcentral.
CCUACGGGAGGCAGCAGUAGGGAAUCUUUCACAAUGGGCGAAAGCCUGAUGGAGCAACGCCGCGUGCAGGAUGAAGGCCUUCGGGUUGUAAACUGCUUUUAUAAGCGAGAAAUAUGAUGGUAACUUAUGAAUAAGGAUCGGCUAACUCCGUGCCAGCAGCCGCGGUAAUACGGAGGAUGCGAGCGUUAUCCGGAUUUAUUGGGUUUAAAGGGUGCGCAGGCGGUCUGUUAAGUCAGCGGUCAAAGCCCGGGGCUCAACCCCGGCCCGCCGUUGAAACUGGCAGUCUCGAGUUGGAGAGAAGUAUG